RNAcentral lists this ribosomal RNA (497 nucleotides) under uncultured bacterium. Its description in RNAcentral is "partial 16S ribosomal RNA". It matches the Rfam family "Bacterial small subunit ribosomal RNA", at positions 28 to 507 of the family's 1533-position model. The record is from RNAcentral.
GAUGAACGCUGGCGGCGUGCCUAAUACAUGCAAGUCGAGCGAACAGACGAGGAGCUUGCUCCUCUGACGUUAGCGGCGGACGGGUGAGUAACACGUGGAUAACCUACCUAUAAGACUGGGAUAACUUCGGGAAACCGGAGCUAAUACCGGAUAAUAUAUUGAACCGCAUGGUUCAAUAGUGAAAGACGGUUUUGCUGUCACUUAUAGAUGGAUCCGCGCCGCAUUAGCUAGUUGGUAAGGUAACGGCUUACCAAGGCGACGAUGCGUAGCCGACCUGAGAGGGUGAUCGGCCACACUGGAACUGAGACACGGUCCAGACUCCUACGGGAGGCAGCAGUAGGGAAUCUUCCGCGAUGGGCGAAAGCCUGACGGAGCAACGCCGCGUGAGUGAUGAAGGUCUUCGGAUCGUAAAACUCUGUUAUUAGGGAAGAACAAAUGUGUAAGUAACUAUGCACGUCUUGACGGUACCUAAUCAGAGAGCCACGGCUAACUACGUG